This is a long non-coding RNA of Cynara cardunculus var. scolymus (artichoke), 454 nucleotides long. RefSeq lists it as uncharacterized. The record is from RefSeq and is a predicted model, not a curated record. The transcript has 2 exons. NCBI's taxonomy places the organism in Eukaryota, Viridiplantae, Streptophyta, Magnoliopsida, Asterales, Asteraceae.
AGAAGAACGACUUAAGAUUGAGAGGCCUGAUGUUGCUCACGUCACCACUUCAAGCUCCAAGAAAAGGAAAGGUAAUUCUUUUAAGGUCCCUAAGACAAAUGCAAGUACGAGUUCAGACCCUUCCUCAAGCACUCCCUACUAUAAAUUUUGCCGAAAGAAAGGGCAUUAUCAAAGGGAUUGUUCUAAGUUCAAGGAGUGGCUGACCAAGAAAGGGAUUCCGUUCAAUCCGAAUGCUGGGAAGAAAGCAAAGGGUAAUUAAAGUGGGCAAUGGAGAAGACUUAGAAGUGAAGGCCAUAGGAACUCUCACCUUAGUAUUAGAGAGUGGUUUUUCACUCAUUCUUCAUGAAGCUCUUUAUGUACCUAAUAUUACUCGUAACUUAAUAUCUGUAUCAAAACUAAAUGCCGAUGGCUUUUCGUUUACAUUUGUACAUAAUAAAGUUACUAUUUGCUUUAA